AGUGUAGGCGGUUACUUAAGGCGGAUGUGAAAUCCCCGGGCUCAACCUGGGGAUUGCAUUCGAUACUGGGUAGCUAGAGUUUGGUAGAGGUAAGUGGAAUUCCGGGUGUAGCGGUGAAAUGCGUAGAUAUCCGGAGGAACAUCAGUGGCGAAGGCGGCUUACUGGACCAAAACUGACGCUGAGGCUCGAAAGCGUGGGGAGCAAACAGGAUUAGAUACCCUGGUAGUCC
RNAcentral lists this ribosomal RNA (229 nucleotides) under uncultured bacterium. RNAcentral's name for it is "partial 16S ribosomal RNA". It matches the Rfam family "Bacterial small subunit ribosomal RNA", at positions 568 to 796 of the family's 1533-position model. The record is from RNAcentral.